This 253-nucleotide ribosomal RNA is filed under the name uncultured bacterium. RNAcentral's name for it is "partial 16S ribosomal RNA". It matches the Rfam family "Bacterial small subunit ribosomal RNA", at positions 524 to 776 of the family's 1533-position model. The record is from RNAcentral.
UACGUAGGGUGCAAGCGUUAAUCGGAAUUACUGGGCGUAAAGCGUGCGCAGGCGGUCUCGCAAGACAGAUGUGAAAUCCCCGGGCUCAACCUGGGAACUGCAUUUGUGACUGCAAGGCUGGAGUACGGUAGAGGGGGAUGGAAUUCCGCGUGUAGCAGUGAAAUGCGUAGAGAUGCGGAGGAACACCGAUGGCGAAGGCAGCCCCCUGGGCUAGCACUGACGCUCAGGCACGAAAGCGUGGGGAGCAAACAGG